Molecule: ribosomal RNA, 380 nt
Filed under: uncultured bacterium
Lineage: Bacteria
Description: bacterial SSU rRNA
Rfam family: Bacterial small subunit ribosomal RNA
Source: RNAcentral
GCUGGGGUGAUUAGUGGCGAACGGGUGAGUAACACGUGAGUAACCUGCCCCUGACUCUGGGAUAAGCCCGGGAAACUGGGUCUAAUACUGGAUAUGCACCGUGGACCGCAUGGUCCUUGGUGGAAAGAUUUUUUGGUCAGGGAUGGACUCGCGGCCUAUCAGCUUGUUGGUGAGGUAAUGGCUCACCAAGGCGACGACGGGUAGCCGGCCUGAGAGGGUGACCGGCCACACUGGGACUGAGACACGGCCCAGACUCCUACGGGAGGCAGCAGUGGGGAAUAUUGCACAAUGGGCGAAAGCCUGAUGCAGCGACGCCGCGUGAGGGAUGACGGCCUUCCGGGUUGUAAACCUCUUUCAGUAGGGAAGAAGCGAAAGUGACG